RNAcentral lists this long non-coding RNA (789 nucleotides) under Homo sapiens (human). RNAcentral's name for it is "HSALNT0094153". The record is from RNAcentral. Lineage: Eukaryota; Metazoa; Chordata; Mammalia; Primates; Hominidae.
GUAGUCAUUCCUUUUCUUCAGUCUCUACAAAAAUAAAUGGAAACCACUGAUCUUAGAAGCCUGGUCAGGGCAAGAAUGUAUCUACCAAACUCUUGACUAAAAAUCAACCAGAAAAAGACACACACGUGCUACAGGAAUCCUUGGAUCUGCAUUUUCAACUUACUCUUGACCACCACAUGUGGCUUUAUUCCCGAAGGACACGGUGGAUAUUUUGUGUGGCCCAAGAAAAGCAAAUGCUGGAAAAAAGCACUAGAAACUGCCCUUUGAAGUUUGCUACCAAGAUCUAAUAUCUUGACAGACCAAAUGGGUACUUGGUGCCUACUGAGAAGCCUUUACUCCCUUUACUCUUCCUCAGAUCAAUGAAGGACAAAUUGACUUCUCUGAAAAAGGAGGUGAAAAAUAGGCUACUUCCUAAGGAGCUCUGUGACUUCCUGAAUAUUCUCUUUUCUAAGACAGAGUGACCCUCAGGAGCCUGAGGAGAGAAGGCAAGGCACGCUGAGGUGAUCCUACAUCCUACACAGCCCACAGGGCUCCCAUGCUCCAGCAAUCACAAUGGAUUUUUAAACAGAGAUUCUGACUUCUUCUUGAUCUAUGAGGCAAUUUCUAAAUUUAAUGAUAUCCAAAAUCUUCCCAGCUGUAUCUCUAUCCUUGGGUCUGUGAAAUUCCAUGCAAAAAGUGCUCAGAAAGCACUCCAUUCAGUGAAAGAUUUGGGGAGUUUUGGAAAUACUCAAACAAAAUCUGUUUAAUUUAUAUAAACCCCCAGUGAGAAAAGCAUUAAGAAUGGAAGUU